GCAGGACCAAACAGGGUCACCUCCCUACCUCCUCCGGUAGCAGCCUCUGACGCAGGCCUGAAAUCUGGGGCAGGUGCAUGAGUUUACCUGGGGAGAGCCCUGACCUUCACUUUCUGCAUCCUGACAAAGAGAAAUUAUGCUUCAGUGACAAUCCCCGGUUGCCUACGCGAUGCAAACCGGUCAAGCGUUGAGAGCCCUGCAGUGGUUCUGCACCGAAGGGCAUAAAUCCUUUCGUCCCGAGUUGGCACCUCAUCGCUUGCUUCUCUUUCAGGGAUUUCCUCCAUUCUUGGAGAAGACACACCUUUCACACCAACCCUUUCAUCACCUAACUAUGGUAGAGACCUCCUUCCAAUCACAUACCUCACCCCCGUCAUGGAUUCUGAAGGGUACCAAUCAAUAAACCUCCUAAGUGUAAUGCCACACGUUGGAAAAUGUGUAGUAUUUGACAGAAGCCGAAAUGAGACCGGCUUGUUGCUCAGAUAAUUACAGGUAGUGUUUACCGGACUAAACCCAUUUGUGGGAAGGGUGAAUUUAAAUGUGUUUAAAGGAAAAAGUGUUUUAAACACUGUCAAGCACUUUAAACUGUCGCAUUGUUGGGGCGCCUGGAUGGCUCAGUCGUGGAGCAUCUGAGUCUUGACUUGGGCUCAGGUCAUGAUCCCAGAGUCGUGGUGUGGGAUUGGCCCUGUGCUGGGCUCCAACCUGAGCAUGGGGCCUGCUUGAGAUUCUCUCUCUCCCUCUCUGCUCGCCCUCUCCCCCUCCCACCUCAAAAAAAAUGUCAUAUUGCACCCAAACAAUUGAUUCCGGGCACACAUACCUCUUCUGUAGUCACAAAAUCAAGCUUUUGAGGAUUUCUGGCAGGCAAUGGUUGUUUUGCCUACUUCUUAUUUACAGCAACAAAACUAAAUAAAAAUCCUAUCGUUCACUCUU
This is a long non-coding RNA of Neofelis nebulosa (Clouded leopard), 927 nucleotides long. RefSeq lists it as uncharacterized. The transcript is spliced from 2 exons. Lineage: Eukaryota; Metazoa; Chordata; Mammalia; Carnivora; Felidae. The record is from RefSeq and is a predicted model, not a curated record.